This 497-nucleotide ribosomal RNA is filed under the name uncultured bacterium. RNAcentral describes it as "partial 16S ribosomal RNA". It matches the Rfam family "Bacterial small subunit ribosomal RNA", at positions 28 to 507 of the family's 1533-position model. The record is from RNAcentral.
GAUGAACGCUGGCGGCGUGCCUAAUACAUGCAAGUCGAGCGGACAGACGAGGAGCUUGCUCCUUUGACGUUAGCGGCGGACGGGUGAGUAACACGUGGGUAACCUACCUAUAAGACUGGGAUAACUUCGGGAAACCGGAGCUAAUACCGGAUAAUAUUUCGAACCGCAUGGUUCGAUAGUGAAAGAUGGCUUUGCUAUCACUUAUAGAUGGACCUGCGCCGUAUUAGCUAGUUGGUAAGGUAACGGCUUACCAAGGCAACGAUACGUAGCCGACCUGAGAGAGUGAUCGGACACACUGGAACUGAGACACGGUCCAGACUCCUACUGGAGGCAGCAGUAGGGAAUCAUCCGCAAUAGGCGAAAGCCUGACGGGGCAACGCCGCGUGAGUGAUGAAGGUCUUCGGAUCGUAAAACUCUGUGAUUAGGGAAGAACAAGCGUGUAAGUAACUGUGCACGUCUUGACGGUACCUAAUCAGAAAGCCACGGCUAACUACGUG